GACGAACGCUGGCGGCGUGCCUAAUACAUGCAAGUCGAGCGAGCUUGCCUAGAUGAUUUUAGUGCUUGCACUAAAUGAAACUAGAUACAAGCGAGCGGCGGACGGGUGAGUAACACGUGGGUAACCUGCCCAAGAGACUGGGAUAACAUUUGGAAACAGAUGCUAAUACCGCAUAACAACAAAAGCCGCAUGGCUUUUGUUUGAAAGAUGGCUUUGGCUAUCACUCUGGGAUGGACCUGCGGUGCAUUAGCUAGUUGGUAAGGUAACGGCUUACCAAGGCGAUGAUGCAUAGCCGAGUUGAGAGACUGAUCGGCCACAAUGGAACUGAGACACGGUCCAU
RNAcentral lists this ribosomal RNA (340 nucleotides) under uncultured bacterium. Its description in RNAcentral is "bacterial SSU rRNA". It matches the Rfam family "Bacterial small subunit ribosomal RNA", at positions 28 to 334 of the family's 1533-position model. The record is from RNAcentral.